Molecule: ribosomal RNA, 465 nt
Filed under: uncultured bacterium
Lineage: Bacteria
Description: partial 16S ribosomal RNA
Rfam family: Bacterial small subunit ribosomal RNA
Source: RNAcentral
GACGAACGCUGGCGGCGUGCUUAACACAUGCAAGUCGAACGGAAAGGCCCUGCUUGCCGGGUACUCGAGUGGCGAACGGGUGAGUAACACGUGGGUGAUCUGCCCUGCACUUCGGGAUAAGCUUGGGAAACUGGGUCUAAUACCGGAUAGGACCGCACUUUAGUGUGUGUGGUGGAAAGUUUUUUCGGUGUAGGAUGAGCUCGCGGCCUAUCAGCUUGUUGGUGGGGUAAUGGCCUACCAAGGCGGCGACGGGUAGCCGGCCUGGGAGGGUGUACGGCCACAAUGGGACUGGGAUACGGCCCAGACUCCUACGGGAGGCAGCAGUGGGGAAUAUUGCACAAUGGGCGCAAGCCUGAUGCAGCGACGCCGCGUGGGGGAUGAAGGGCUUUGGGUUGGAAACUCCUUUCGCUAGGGACGAAGCUUUUUGUGACGGUACCUAGAUAAGAAGCACCGGCUAACUACGUG